GACCAGUUAGUGGAGUGGUCAUUAAGUCUACAAGCUGUAGGAAUAGAAAAGAGAGAAACAAGAUGAGAAGAGUCUCCACUCCCACUGCUUCACUUGACCGGUCCAAA
Molecule: non-coding RNA, 107 nt
Filed under: Microcebus murinus (gray mouse lemur)
Lineage: Eukaryota; Metazoa; Chordata; Mammalia; Primates; Cheirogaleidae
Source: RNAcentral